UUCCGGUUGAUCCCGCCGGAGGCCACUGCUAUCGGGGUUUGACUAAGCCAUGCGAGUCGAGAGGUUCAAGACCUCGGCGUACUGCUCAGUAACACGUGGACAGUCUGCCCUGAAGUGGAUGAUAAUCCCGGGAAACUGGGGGUAAUACUCCAUAGUUCGUGAUGACUGGAAUGUUUUGCGAACGAAAGAUCCGUCGCUUCAGGAUGAGUCUGCGGCCGAUUAGGUAGUUGUUGGGGUAACGGCCCAACAAGCCUGUCAUCGGUACGGGUUGUGGGAGCAAGAGCCCGGAGAUGGAUUCUGAGACACGAAUCCAGGCCCUACGGGGCGCAGCAGGCGCGAAAACUUUACCAUGCGGGCAACCGUGGUAAGGAAACCCCGAGUGCCAGCACAGGCUGGCUGUCCGCCAGUGUAAAUAACUGGUGAAGAAAGGGCCGGGCAAGACCGGUGCCAGCCGCCGCGGUAAUACCGGCGGCUCGAGUGGUGGCCACUAUUACUGGGCUUAAAGGGUCCGUAGCUGGAUAUACAAGUCUCUUGAGAAAUCCGCCGGCUUAACCGGUGGGCGUUCAGGGGAAACUGUAUUUCUAGGGACCGGGAGAGGUGAGAGGUACUGCCGGGGUAGGAGUGAAAUCCUGUAAUCCCGGUGGGACCACCUAUGGCGAAGGCAUCUCACCAGAACGGGUCCGACAGUGAGGGACGAAAGCUGGGGGAGCAAACCGGAUUAGAUACCCGGGUAGUCCCAGCUGUAAACGAUGCGCGUUAGGUGUGUCAGUGACCACGUGUCACUGAGGUGCCGAAGGGAAACCGUGAAACGCGCCGCCUGGGGAGUACGGUCGCAAGGCUGAAACUUAAAGGAAUUGGCGGGGGAGCAUCACAACGGGUGGAGCCUGCGGUUUAAUUGGAUUCAACGCCGGG
This 912-nucleotide ribosomal RNA is filed under the name archaeon enrichment culture clone C3-33C-A. Its description in RNAcentral is "bacterial SSU rRNA". It matches the Rfam family "Archaeal small subunit ribosomal RNA", at positions 1 to 922 of the family's 1478-position model. The record is from RNAcentral.